UGCAUGUCUCAGUACUUGCUUUAACAAGGCGAAACCGCGAAUGGCUCAUUAAAUCAGUUAUGGUUCACUAGAUCGUAAAUCCUACACGGAUAACUGUGGUAAUUCUAGAGCUAAUACGUGCAAACGGCUCGUUCCCUUGUGGAGCGAGCGCAGUUAUUAGAACAAAACCAAUCCGGCCUUCGGGUCGGUUAAAAUGGUGACUCUGAAUAACCGAAGCGGAGCGUAUGGUCUCGUACCGACGCCAGAUCUUUCAAGUGACUGCUCUAUCAGCUUGUUGCUAGGUUAUGCUCCUAGCAAGGCUUCAACGGGUAACGGGGUAUCAGGGUCCGAUACCGGAGAGGGAGCCUGAGAAACGGCUACCACAUCCAAGGAAGGCAGCAGGCGCGCAAAUUACCCACUCCCAGCACGGGGAGGUAGUGACGAAAAAUAACGAUGCGAGGGCAUAUUGCUUCUCGUAAUCGGAAUGGGUACACUUUAAAUCCUUUAACGAGGAUCUAUUGGAGGGCAAGUCUGGUGCCAGCAGCCGCGGUAAUUCCAGCUCCAAUAGCGUAUAUUAAAGUUGCUGCGGUUAAAAAGCUCGUAGUUGGAUCUGGGCAGCUGGAUGUGCGGUGCGCUUUACAGCGUUACUGCUCGUUUGGCGCCACAAGCCGGCCAUGUCUUGCAUGCUCUUCACUGGGUGUGCUUGGCGACCGGAACGUUUACUUUGAAAAAAUUAGAGUGCUCAAAGCAGGCGUAUGGCCUUGCAUAAUGGUGCAUGGAAUAAUGGAAUAGGACCUCGGUUCUAUUUUGUUGGUUAUCGGAGCUCGAGGUAAUGAUUAAGAGGAACAGACGGGGGCAUUCGUAUUGCGGCGUUAGAGGUGAAAUUCUUGGAUCGUCGCAA
Molecule: ribosomal RNA, 880 nt
Filed under: Mesobiotus hilariae
Lineage: Eukaryota; Metazoa; Tardigrada; Eutardigrada; Parachela; Macrobiotidae
Description: SSU rRNA
Rfam family: Eukaryotic small subunit ribosomal RNA
Source: RNAcentral